GGGAUUAUAGUUAAUAAUAACAUUUGAUUUGCAUUCAAAAAGUAUUGUAAAAACAAUUUAUCUC
RNAcentral lists this transfer RNA (64 nucleotides) under Peruphasma schultei. RNAcentral's name for it is "tRNA-Ala". It matches the Rfam family "tRNA". Rfam says of the family: Transfer RNA (tRNA) molecules are approximately 80 nucleotides in length. Their secondary structure includes four short double-helical elements and three loops (D, anti-codon, and T loops). Further hydrogen bonds mediate the characteristic L-shaped molecular structure. tRNAs have two regions of fundamental functional importance: the anti-codon, which is responsible for specific mRNA codon recognition, and the 3' end, to which the tRNAs corresponding amino acid is attached (by aminoacyl-tRNA synthetases). tRNAs cope with the degeneracy of the genetic code in two manners: having more than one tRNA (with a specific anti-codon) for a particular amino acid; and 'wobble' base-pairing, i.e. permitting non-standard base-pairing at the 3rd anti-codon position. The record is from RNAcentral. Lineage: Eukaryota; Metazoa; Arthropoda; Insecta; Phasmatodea; Pseudophasmatidae.